UGCGUUGCAGUGCGAUCCAGUGCUUUUUUUGAGUGACAUUUUGACAGCUCUUAAAUUUAUUUUUCCGAUAUCCUCCGCCAGAAAUUGUUUGCGGAUUUUUUUCCGAAUUGUUCAAAUUAUAAACAAAAUGCCACGAGGAAACGAAAAAACAACAACCAAACAAAUCGAGCAUUUGGUUAAUUUAAUGCAAGAAAAACCCGAUAUAGCAAGAAAUUACACGAAAAGGUCCACAGAAGAUGUUGCUGCAUUUUGGGAAGAGGUUGCUGACAAACUCAACCAACUGGAAGGACGUCAACGAGAUGUAGCUGGUUGGAAAAAGGUUUGGAGCGACCAUAAGACGUACAUAAAAAAAAAAGUUGGCGGCAAAUAAAAAGGAGAUCACGGGCACAGGUGGUGGUCCCCAUAAACAGAAAUCGUUCACACCAUUGGAGGAUGCUGUCAUAGCCUUGAUACAUUCCAACGAUUCUGUUAAUGGCAUUGGUGCAAAAUCGUUUGGAACAGGUAAUGAUAAUGAACAAGCAGCCAGUGAACCAUCAUCACCAAACACAACUGCAGCAGAUGCAGAGAACAUCGAAGGUGAUAGAAACUCUAACUCGAACUGCCGACAAAAGACUCUGUCGUCUAUUCAACUUCUUAGGAAGCAGGUCGAAAAUCAGUCGUCUUAUUACGACCAUAUGAAAACUUCCCUUCAGGCCGCAACAAAAGCAUUGCAGGACACCACAAAUAUCUUGCGGGACACAGCUAAAACCUUGCAAGACUCAGCAGUACAUCUCAAAAGGGUGUAUAGAUCGGUGGAAUAUACGGGUGAAAUAGAAAAUAAAAAGCUUAAAGAGAUGCAAUUUCACAACGCUGAGAUGCGAAAAAUUGCAAUGAGAAAACUUGAAAUCAAGGCCAAAAUUCUUGAAAUUGAGAUUUCAAGAACUAAUGUCAUGUUGCAAUGAUUCCAUUUCAUAAAACUUUACUAAGAUCCAGAUCUCAAUCCAUAAAAUUAUAAACGCCAAGGAGGCUAUAGUCAUUUUGUUUAUAUGUACAUGAAUUAUUAAGUUUUGUUUUUUUUUUAUG
Molecule: long non-coding RNA, 1062 nt
Organism: Eupeodes corollae
Lineage: Eukaryota; Metazoa; Arthropoda; Insecta; Diptera; Syrphidae
Exons: 3
Source: RefSeq, a predicted model, not a curated record